Molecule: small RNA, 126 nt
Filed under: Klebsiella pneumoniae
Lineage: Bacteria; Pseudomonadati; Pseudomonadota; Gammaproteobacteria; Enterobacterales; Enterobacteriaceae
Description: partial RtT sRNA
Rfam family: RtT RNA
About the family: This family represents a bacterial cis-regulatory element known as RtT RNA. The exact function of RtT is unknown although it is thought that it may be involved in changing the cellular response in relation to amino acid starvation.
Source: RNAcentral
UAUUCUGCCCCACGGGGAAGGAUGAGAAGCUUCGACUAAGGUUCGACUCGAGCGAAGCGAGAGAACGUUGCCGCAGGCAACGGCCCGAAGGGCGAGGCGCUUUAGCGCCGAGUAAUCCUUCCCCCA